GGCGGCAGCGGUGGCAGCCGUGGUGAGGCGAGUGGGUCCAACUUUCCUGCUGGCCUCAGGGGGUUGGGGCGCGGAGGGUCGCGAUGUCCGAGAAGAAGCAGCCGGUAGACUUGGGUCUCCUGGAGGAGGACGACGAGUUCGAGGAAUUCCCUGCGGAAGACUGGACUGGUUUAGAUGAAGAUGAAGAUGCACAUGUCUGGGAGGAUAAUUGGGAUGAUGACAAUGUAGAGGAUGACUUCUCCAAUCAGUUACGAGCUGAACUAGAGAAACAUGGUUAUAAGAUGGAGACCUCAUAAUAUCCAGAAGAAGUAUUGAAGCAACCUAAAGUUGAACUAUUUACUAAAUUCUAGGUCACAGAAUCCAGGAUGAAUAAACUUAAAAAAUGUUUAUUUCAUUACUUGCUUGGCUUUAUUUUUGCUUUUGUAACACAAAAAAUAAAUGUUUUGAUCUAA
Long non-coding RNA from Myotis myotis, 452 nucleotides. RefSeq lists it as uncharacterized. The transcript has 3 exons. Lineage: Eukaryota; Metazoa; Chordata; Mammalia; Chiroptera; Vespertilionidae. The record is from RefSeq and is a predicted model, not a curated record.